Molecule: ribosomal RNA, 546 nt
Filed under: uncultured Methanospirillum sp.
Lineage: Archaea; Methanobacteriati; Methanobacteriota; Methanomicrobia; Methanomicrobiales; Methanospirillaceae
Description: bacterial SSU rRNA
Rfam family: Archaeal small subunit ribosomal RNA
Source: RNAcentral
ACGGGGUGCAGCAGGCGCGAAACUUUACAAUGCGGGCAACCGUGAUAAGGAAACCCCGAGUGCCAGCAUAGGCUGGCUGUCCAUCAGUGUAAACAGCUGGUGCAGAAAGGGCCGGGCAAGACCGGUGCCAGCCGCCGCGGUAAUACCGGCGGCUCGAGUGGUGGCCGCUAUUACUGGGCUUAAAGGGUCCGUAGCUUGAUAUGCAAGUCCCUUGAGAAAUCCGCCAGCUUAACUGGCGGGCGUUCAGGGGAAAUUGCGUUUCUAGGGACCGGGAGAGGUGAGAGGUACUGCCGGGGUAGGAGUGAAAUCCUGUAAUCCCGGUGGGACCACCUAUGGCGAAGGCAUCUCACCAGAACGGGUCCGACAGUGAGGGACGAAAGCUGGGGGAGCAAACCGGAUUAGAUACCCGGGUAGUCCCAGCUGUAAACGAUGCGCGUUAGGUGUGUCAGUGACCACGUGUCACUGAGGUGCCGAAGGGAAACCGUGAAACGCGCCGCCUGGGGAGUACGGUCGCAAGGCUGAAACUUAAAGGAAUUGGCGGGGGAG